This 21-nucleotide non-coding RNA is filed under the name Caenorhabditis elegans. Lineage: Eukaryota; Metazoa; Nematoda; Chromadorea; Rhabditida; Rhabditidae. The record is from RNAcentral.
UAGUACAUAAUUAGAUGGGUA